AGAGUUUGAUCCUGGCUCAGAUUGAACGCUGGCGGCAGGCUUAACACAUGCAAGUCGAGCGGAGAUGAGGUGCUUGCACCUUAUCUUAGCGGCGGACGGGUGAGUAAUGCUUAGGAAUCUGCCUAUUAGUGGGGGACAACAUUCCGAAAGGAAUGCUAAUACCGCAUACGUCCUACGGGAGAAAGCAGGGGAUCUUCGGACCUUGCGCUAAUAGAUGAGCCUAAGUCGGAUUAGCUAGUUGGUGGGGUAAAGGCCUACCAAGGCGACGAUCUGUAGCGGGUCUGAGAGGAUGAUCCGCCACACUGGGACUGAGACACGGCCCAGACUCCUACGGGAGGCAGCAGUGGGGAAUAUUGGACAAUGGGGGGAACCCUGAUCCAGCCAUGCCGCGUGUGUGAAGAAGGCCUUAUGGUUGUAAAGCACUUUAAGCGAGGAGGAGGCUACUGAGACUAAUACUCUUGGAUAGUGGACGUUACUCGCAGAAUAAGCACCGGCUAACUCUGUGCCAGCAGCCGCGGUAAUACAGAGGGUGCGAGCGUUAAUCGGAUUUACUGGGCGUAAAGCGUGCGUAGGCGGCUUUUUAAGUCGGAUGUGAAAUCCCCGAGCUUAACUUGGGAAUUGCAUUCGAUACUGGGAAGCUAGAGUAUGGGAGAGGAUGGUAGAAUUCCAGGUGUAGCGGUGAAAUGCGUAGAGAUCUGGAG
RNAcentral lists this ribosomal RNA (701 nucleotides) under uncultured Moraxellaceae bacterium. Its description in RNAcentral is "bacterial SSU rRNA". It matches the Rfam family "Bacterial small subunit ribosomal RNA", at positions 8 to 703 of the family's 1533-position model. Lineage: Bacteria; Pseudomonadati; Pseudomonadota; Gammaproteobacteria; Moraxellales; Moraxellaceae. The record is from RNAcentral.